RNAcentral lists this ribosomal RNA (503 nucleotides) under uncultured bacterium. RNAcentral's name for it is "partial 16S ribosomal RNA". It matches the Rfam family "Bacterial small subunit ribosomal RNA", at positions 30 to 523 of the family's 1533-position model. The record is from RNAcentral.
AUUGAACGCUGGCGGCAGGCUUAACACAUGCAAGUCGAGCGGGGUGAUGGUGCUUGCACUAUCACUUAGCGGCGGACGGGUGAGUAAUGCUUAGGAAUCUGCCUAUUAGUGGGGGACAACAUCUCGAAAGGGAUGCUAAUACCGCAUACGUCCUACGGGAGAAAGCAGGGGAUCACUUGUGACCUUGCGCUAAUAGAUGAGCCUAAGUCGGAUUAGCUAAUUGGUGGAGUAAAGGCCUACCAAGGCGACGAUCUGUAGCGGGUCUGAGAGGAGGCUCCGCCACACUGGGACUGAGACACGGCCCAGACUCCUACGGGAGGCAGCAGUGGGGAAUAUUGGACAAUGGGGGGAACCCUGAUCCAGCCAUGCCGCGUGUGUGAAGAAGGCCUUAUGGUUGUAAAGCACUUUAAGCGAGGAGGAGGCUCUUUUGGUUAAUACCCAAGAUGAGUGGACGUUACUCGCAGAAUAAGCACCGGCUAACUCUGUGCCAGCAGCCGCGGUAA